UGGGGAAUAUUGCACAAUGGACGAAAGUCUGAUGCAGCAACGCCGCGUGGAGGAUGACACAUUUCGGUGCGUAAACUCCUUUUAUAUAGGAAGAUAAUGACGGUACUAUAUGAAUAAGCGCCGGCUAACUCCGUGCCAGCAGCCGCGGUAAUACGGAGGGCGCAAGCGUUACUCGGAAUCACUGGGCGUAAAGAGCGUGUAGGCGGAUAGAUAAGUCAGGAGUGAAAUCCUAUGGCUCAACCAUAGAACUGCUCUUGAAACUGUCAAUCUAGAGUGUGGGAGAGGUAGAUGGAAUUUCUGGUGUAGGGGUAAAAUCCGUAGAGAUCAGAAGGAAUACCGAUUGCGAAGGCGAUCUACUGGAACAUAACUGACGCUGAGACGCGAAAGCGUGGGGAGCAAAC
Molecule: ribosomal RNA, 401 nt
Filed under: uncultured Arcobacter sp.
Lineage: Bacteria; Pseudomonadati; Campylobacterota; Epsilonproteobacteria; Campylobacterales; Arcobacteraceae
Description: bacterial SSU rRNA
Rfam family: Bacterial small subunit ribosomal RNA
Source: RNAcentral